RNAcentral lists this unclassified non-coding RNA (584 nucleotides) under Hevea brasiliensis (rubber tree). The record is from RNAcentral. Lineage: Eukaryota; Viridiplantae; Streptophyta; Magnoliopsida; Malpighiales; Euphorbiaceae.
GUGUUAGGCAGAUACUUAUGUCCUCUGGCUCUACAACAUUCACAAAGAUCGUUAACAAAUGGAACACUGCUCUUAUUGGCCUCAUGACAUAUUUCCGUGAAGCAACGGUGCAUACACAAGAGUUGCUGGACCUGCUGGUCAAAUGUGAAAACAAGAUACAAACUCGUAUUAAGAUUGGUUUGAACUCAAAAAUGCCUAGCAGGUUUCCUCCUGUUAUUUUCUACACACCAAAGGAAAUUGGAGGGCUUGGAAUGUUGUCAAUGGGUCACAUAUUGAUCCCCCAGAGUGAUCUUAGGUAUAGUCAGCAAACAGAUGUUGGUGUCACACAUUUCAGAAGUGGAAUGAGCCAUGAAGAGGACCAAUUGAUCCCAAAUUUGUACCGGUACAUACAGCCUUGGGAAAGUGAGUUUAUAGACUCUCAGAGAGUUUGGGCCGAGUAUGCUUUGAAAAGGCAGGAAGCCCAGGCACAGAAUAGGCGCUUGACUCUUGAAGAUUUGGAAGACUCAUGGGAUCGUGGAAUACCUCGAAUCAAUACAUUGUUCCAGAAGGAUCGCCACACCCUUGCAUAUGACAAAGGAUGGAGA